Molecule: small RNA, 118 nt
Filed under: Bacillus sp. THAF10
Lineage: Bacteria; Bacillati; Bacillota; Bacilli; Caryophanales; Bacillaceae
Description: RNA Staph. aureus E (RoxS)
Rfam family: RNA Staph. aureus E (RoxS)
About the family: It was shown to be regulated by the presence of nitric oxide (NO). In Bacillus subtilis it controls expression of genes with functions related to oxidative stress and oxidation-reduction reactions and it was renamed RoxS (for related to oxidative stress).
Source: Rfam by way of RNAcentral
GUGAAACGAUUCACAAACAAACAUAUACCCCUUUGUUUGACCGUGAAAAAUUUCUCCCAUCCCCUUUGUUGUCUUUAAUGACACAAAAAAGCCCUGGUCCCGUUGACCGGGGCUUUUU